CUACGGGAGGCUGCAGUGAGGAAUAUUGCACAAUGGGGGGAACCCUGAUGCGGCAACGCCGCGUGGAGGAUGACGCAUUUCGGUGUGUAAACUCCUUUUAUAUGUCAAGAAAAUGACGGUAGCAUAUGAAUAAGCACCUGCUAACUCCGUGCCAGCAGCCGCGGUAAUACGGGGGUGCAAGCGUUAUUCGGAAUCACUGGGCGUAAAGGACGCGUAGGCGGGUUGGAAAGUCAGGUGUGAAAUCCUACAGCUUAACUGUAGAACUGCACUUGAAACUUCUAAUCUAGAGUAUGGGAGGGGGAGAUGGAAUUAGUGGUGUAGGGGUAAAAUCCGUAGAUAUCACUAGGAAUACCUAAAGCGAAGGCGAUCUCCUGGAACAUUACUGACGCUGAGGUGCGAAAGCGUGGGGAGCAAACAGGAUUAGAUACCCUCGUAGUC
This 438-nucleotide ribosomal RNA is filed under the name uncultured bacterium. RNAcentral's name for it is "partial 16S ribosomal RNA". It matches the Rfam family "Bacterial small subunit ribosomal RNA", at positions 339 to 795 of the family's 1533-position model. The record is from RNAcentral.